UACGUAGGUGGCAAGCGUUGUCCGGAAUUAUUGGGCGUAAAGCGCGCGCAGGCGGUCCUUUAAGUCUGAUGUGAAAGCCCACGGCUCAACCGUGGAGGGUCAUUGGAAACUGGGGGACUUGAGUGCAGAGGAGGAAAGCGGAAUUCCACGUGUAGCGGUGAAAUGCGUAGAGAUGUGGAGGAACACCAGUGGCGAAGGCGGCUUUCUGGUCUGUAACUGACGCUGAGGCGCGAA
This 234-nucleotide ribosomal RNA is filed under the name uncultured bacterium. Its description in RNAcentral is "partial 16S ribosomal RNA". It matches the Rfam family "Bacterial small subunit ribosomal RNA", at positions 524 to 757 of the family's 1533-position model. The record is from RNAcentral.